ACUCAAGAUUCUGAACAGGAAACAACUCUUAAAAACAAAUUCUACAUCAUCCUUAAGAAAAAAAGCGCUUCCUUGCUCAUCAGUCAUAUUGCCAUAGCUCAUCUCUUCAUUUUAGCCUGCAAUUAGAACUUUGCAGGGUUCAGGCCACAGAAAUGAAGGUCAAGAAAGUGCAGAAAAGAAAGUGAAUGAACUGACAGAGGAAAGAUGAUGUUUCUGGAGAAAAGAAGCAUUUGCAGUUAGCAGAGGAGUUAUUUUCAGAUCCAGCUUUUCUCAAGUUGUCCUUUUAUAACUUGAAACCACCCAUGUCCAAAAAUGAUAAGAAGUGAAUGAUAAAGAGAAAAGAAAAGAAAAAGGGACACUGUGUGGUAUGUAGGUCAGCCUCUCCAGUGACUUUUUUCUGUGACUUUCUCAGGAGAUGAUGGAUGAAGUGUAGUUUUGUUUUGUUUUCCUUUCACUUUAUAUCUAAGAGCAUGACAUUCUACAGAUUCAUAUUCUGAAAGAUGUAGUGAUUCACAAAUAAACCAACAAAAAUGAGAGUUAAAAAAAAAA
Long non-coding RNA from Cygnus olor (mute swan), 549 nucleotides. RefSeq lists it as uncharacterized. The transcript is spliced from 3 exons. NCBI's taxonomy places the organism in Eukaryota, Metazoa, Chordata, Aves, Anseriformes, Anatidae. The record is from RefSeq and is a predicted model, not a curated record.